RNAcentral lists this ribosomal RNA (253 nucleotides) under uncultured bacterium. Its description in RNAcentral is "partial 16S ribosomal RNA". It matches the Rfam family "Bacterial small subunit ribosomal RNA", at positions 524 to 776 of the family's 1533-position model. The record is from RNAcentral.
UACAGAGGUCCCGAGCGUUGUUCGGAUUCACUGGGCGUAAAGGGUGCGUAGGUGGUGAGGUAAGUCGGAUGUGAAAUCUCGGAGCUUAACUCCGAAAUGGCAUUGGAAACUACCUUGCUAGAGGGUUGGAGGGGGGACUGGAAUACUUGGUGUAGCAGUGAAAUGCGUAGAUAUCAAGUGGAACACCAGUGGCGAAGGCGAGUCCCUGGACAACUCCUGACACUGAGGCACGAAAGCUAGGGGAGCAAACAGG